Molecule: ribosomal RNA, 253 nt
Filed under: uncultured bacterium
Lineage: Bacteria
Description: partial 16S ribosomal RNA
Rfam family: Bacterial small subunit ribosomal RNA
Source: RNAcentral
UACAGGGGGUGCAAACGUUGCUCGGAAUUAUUGGGUGUAAAGCGCACGUAGGCGGUUCGUUAUGUCGGAUGUGAAAGCCCUUGGCUCAACUGAGGAAGUGCAUCCGAAACUGGCGAGCUAGAGUAUGUAAGAGGGUCGCGGAAUUCCCGGUGUAGAGGUGAAAUUCGUAGAUAUCGGGAGGAACACCGGUGGCGAAGGCGGCGACCUGGGACAAUACUGACGCUGAGGUGCGAAAGCGUGGGGAGCAAACAGG